UCCCUGAUUUCUUCUCUUAGUUUGUCAUAAACUACCAUAUGAACAAACUAAAUAUCAGCUUGUCUGAGCUGCUGAACAUGCUAAAAAUAGCAGAGAGCUAUUUCAAAGGUGAAAAGGCUCUAGUUCUUCUUGUCGAUAAGAUCAACAAGAAGAAAGAUAAGAAGAAUUUCAAGAAAAAGUUGAAUCCUAAGACUGGCAUCUCCAAGAAGAAGGUGAAAAAGAUCUCCGCCAA
RNAcentral lists this long non-coding RNA (232 nucleotides) under Elaeis guineensis (African oil palm). RNAcentral's name for it is "long non-coding RNA (EGUI_LNC063195)". Lineage: Eukaryota; Viridiplantae; Streptophyta; Magnoliopsida; Arecales; Arecaceae. The record is from RNAcentral.